Molecule: unclassified non-coding RNA, 20 nt
Filed under: Dictyostelium discoideum
Lineage: Eukaryota; Evosea; Eumycetozoa; Dictyosteliales; Dictyosteliaceae
Source: RNAcentral
GGGCCUCGUCAUCUAAUUAG